GCAAUAUAAUCAAGGGCAGAGAAGAAGCUGAAAAACAAGAAAGAACUAAAGGUUCUGUUGAAAAAAGUAUCCAAAAAAGCACAAAAGUACAAGAAAAAACUCCAGCACAUUAAAAAGAAAAAUGCAUCUCCAGGCACAAAAGUAAACGAACAGCUGAGACAGCUUCCAAGUGUGGCCGCUCAGAAGUCCCUUUUGUUUCAUGAAGCUCUGGUGGAGGGCAUCCGAAACAAAUACAAAAAUGCAGAGGGGGAGAGGGAAAAGCAAAUCAUUUCAAAAGUGAUAACAGGAAAAGUACAAAUGCAAUGCUUUGCUCAAAAUUCAUUGGGCUUUUCAAUUAAAAGAUGCAAAAAUGAGAAGAAUAUAAAGGUUAACUACACCUACUAAAGGAAGCAGAACAACAGGGUUGCAGAUGGUCUGAUACGCAGAGUGGGGGUUUUUACUCAAUGGAUGACGUGAGUCGCAUCAGAACUGGGAAGAGGCAAUCAGAAGAAUAACAAAAAGCAAAAACGGUUCCUUUUGGAUACCAUGAAAAAUUUGCACAGGAAGUUUUUGGCUGAAGAACAAAGCUCCAUCUCUUACUCACUCUUCUGUAAGCUCAGACCUUUUUGGAUUGUUCAUCCGACCCGGAGUGAUCAGGACACGUGCAUGUGCAGGAUGCUUGAGAAUCUGGGUUUUCUUGUGUAAAAGCUACACUACUUCAUAGUAAUCAGUACCAUCAAUCUGGAUGACCUUUUGAAAGAGAUAUCAUGUGACACAGAAAAUAUGAAGUGUAUGUAUGGAGAAUGUUCGGAGUGCAAGGACCGUUCUUGCCCAGUCUCUACAGAGUACAAUCCAGAGAAUAAAGUGUCUUAUAUUCAGUGGGUAGUUGUGGAUAAGCAGCAUGACCCCAUUGGCAAAACCUCUAAAAUCACAAUUAAAAAAAAAGAGUUCCACACCACUCUAGAAGAAUUGCUGGAACAGCUAAACCUGCUGCUGCAUAGGUUUAAGAGACACACUUUUAACAUCAACAAUCAGUUUAUCCACUACAGGGCAUUGAGACAAAGCUUAAAAGCACAUGAAUGCUUAAUUUAUGUUGACUUUUCUGAAAACUACCUCUGCAAGUACAGCACAGAAAUACAGUCAGUCCACUCCGGAGCAUCACAUCAGCAGGCAACACUGCACACGUGUGUGCUUUAUGUGUAUGCAACCCCUCAAUUGAUGUGCUUCUGCACUGUCACUCUCAAGAAAAAAGGGCCCACCAGCAAUCUGGCAACACUUGUCACCAGUGCUAAUUUUUUCUUGAGUUGUACUGAGCUGCUCAGGCGAGGAUUCACUGCAGGGACGUGGAACUUUUUUGAGGCGAGCCACGGGAAGGGUGCCCCGGGAUGGUGUUGGAGGGGCCCUGAAGAGGAGGGCUGACAGUCUAGUCAGCCAAGGAAGAGACAUUCCUGAUGCUGAAGACCUGUUUGCUGUGUUGCAAGAGACAGACACAAAAAUCAAGUUGUUUAUUGUCAGCGAGGAAGCAGUUGAUAAAGCAGUUUCAGAGAUGCCCAAUGAUGAGCCACCAGUUCCGUCCAUUAUGAGGAUCCAUUAGGUAGUGUCCCUAGCCCAUGGAGAACUGACAUACAGGGACGUCAGCUGCUUGUGCACAACAACACAAACUCUGAACUGUGGGUGCUUUAAUGCAAAGCAUUUCAAGUUCAGCAACCAGCAGACAGCUCCCAUGGCUCCCAUAGUGACAGACGUUGUUGGUAAUGUCGUGAAGUUGUUGGCAAAUGGAGUGUGCUGAAGUACGAUGGUAAUCUGUACCCUGGUGUCAUCACAGAUACAAGUGAAACACAUGUUGAAGUCCGUUGUAUGCAAAAGAUUGGGGUCAACAGAUGAAGAUGGAGAGAACCCAGAAGCCUAGGGCACAUGGCACAUAUCUUCAGAAAUCGGUCUCUCACACACACAAGCUAUGCACACUCACGGACACACACACACACACGGACACACACACACACACACACAUUCCUGUUGCUCAGAUUUCAUUCCUAUUACGCA
Ictalurus punctatus (channel catfish) is the source of this 2022-nucleotide long non-coding RNA. Lineage: Eukaryota; Metazoa; Chordata; Actinopteri; Siluriformes; Ictaluridae. The record is from Ensembl.